This 496-nucleotide ribosomal RNA is filed under the name uncultured bacterium. Its description in RNAcentral is "partial 16S ribosomal RNA". It matches the Rfam family "Bacterial small subunit ribosomal RNA", at positions 28 to 506 of the family's 1533-position model. The record is from RNAcentral.
GAUGAACGCUGGCGGCGUGCCUAAUACAUGCAAGUCGAGCGAACAGACGAGGAGCUUGCUCCUCUGACGUUAGCGGCGGACGGGUGAGUAACACGUGGAUAACCUACCUAUAAGACUGGGAUAACUUCGGGAAACCGGAGCUAAUACCGGAUAACAUGUUGAACCGCAUGGUUCAACAGUGAAAGACGGUUUUGCUGUCACUUAUAGAUGGAUCCGCGUCGCAUUAGCUAGUUGGUAAGGUAACGGCUUACCAAGGCAACGAUGCGUAGCCGACCUGAGAGGGUGAACGGCCAACCUGGAACUGAGACACGGUCCAGGCUCCUACGGGAGGCAGGAGUAGGGAAUCUUCCGGAAUGGGCGAAAGCCUGACGGAGCAACGCCGCGUGAGUGAAGAAGGUCUUCGGAUCGUAAAACUCUGUUAUUAGGGAAGAACAAAUGUGUAAGUAACUAUGCACGUCUGGACGGUACCUAAUCAGAAAGCCACGGCUAACUACGU